Long non-coding RNA from Seriola dumerili (greater amberjack), 830 nucleotides. RefSeq lists it as uncharacterized. NCBI's taxonomy places the organism in Eukaryota, Metazoa, Chordata, Actinopteri, Carangiformes, Carangidae. The record is from RefSeq and is a predicted model, not a curated record. The transcript has 3 exons.
UCAAAGCAGAGCAUGCCACCACUUUCAAGAACCUGUCACUGACAGCAACACACAGCAGUGAAAAUCUUCUCCGCCACUUGUCAUGGAUACGGAUAAAGAUGGUAACUACAAGACAGUUUCUCUGAUCCUAGCUCAACCAUGAUAAAUAUGCGCCCAUAAGUGUGAACUGCAGCAGGAGCACUGCUGCCUCUACACACAGAAGUCCAACUCUCUAACUUCACACAUGCCUGCACUUCAGAAAAAAAGAAGUCAGCAAAGAUCACAGAACAUCCUUAUCCCAAAUUCUAACCAAAGAGCAAUGCAGAACCAAGAGGACAACAUCUACAGUGAGAUCAGAGUCCUGACAGAUAAAGGCCAUCUGAGUGAGCUCCUGAGAGUCUGAUGUGAGAUCAGAAGAACGCAAUUCAAAGGAGAGGAGGCAUCACCUUCUGUUGGAGUGGAUCAGCCCUGCCAGACAAGGCACGCUGCAGCUCAGUGGGGUGGAACAGUUGCCCUCCAGUUUGUAACAAUGCAAUGUACAACUGCUUGUCUGUGUGCAACAGGUGGGUGGUGGAAGGGGAGAGGGGCAGUCUGUUGUAUUUUCCUCUGUCUCCAUGACAGAAUUAGUUAUAUGGUAACAAAGAACAGUUGGCUAAAAGUCACAAGAGAAUUGUAGUUGUACCAGAAAACAUAGAGUAUAUGCAAGUUACUACUUGUUAGCAAUGUUCUCAUUGUAAAAGCCUGAGGUGCAGCUGCUCGAGAAUUUUCUGCAUUGACUAUAUGUUUGCCUCUUUAUGAAAUGUCAAUAUUAAACCAUUUCAAAGAAACUGAAAGUUCAAAUUGGCAAAUAA